UAGGGAAUCUUCGGCAAUGGACGGAAGUCUGACCGAGCAACGCCGCGUGAGUGAAGAAGGUUUUCGGAUCGUAAAGCUCUGUUGUAAGUCAAGAACGUGUGUGAGAGUGGAAAGUUCACACAGUGACGGUAGCUUACCAGAAAGGGACGGCUAACUACGUGCCAGCAGCCGCGGUAAUACGUAGGUCCCGAGCGUUGUCCGGAUUUAUUGGGCGUAAAGGGAGCGCAGGCGGUCAGGAAAGUCUGGAGUAAAAGGCUAUGGCUCAACCAUAGUGUGCUCUGGAAACUGUCUGACUUGAGUGCAGAAGGGGAGAGUGGAAUUCCAUGUGUAGCGGUGAAAUGCGUAGAUAUAUGGAGGAACACCAGUGGCGAAAGCGGCUCUCUGGUCUGUCACUGACGCUGAGGCUCGAAAGCGUGGGUAGCGAACAGGAUUAGAUACCCUGGUAGUCCACGCCGUAAACGAUGAGUGCUAGGUGUUAGGCCCUUUCCGGGGCUUAGUGCCGGAGCUAACGCAAUAAGCACUCCGCCUGGGGAGUACGACCGCAAGGUUG
This 550-nucleotide ribosomal RNA is filed under the name uncultured bacterium. RNAcentral's name for it is "bacterial SSU rRNA". It matches the Rfam family "Bacterial small subunit ribosomal RNA", at positions 355 to 896 of the family's 1533-position model. The record is from RNAcentral.